UGUUAUUACUGCUGCAGGAAUCUGCAAAGCUGACCCGUUCUUAGAUUGAAAGGAAUUUCCUAAAAUUCAUGGAGAAUCUUCCCGAAAGGAGAGUUCCAAAACGUGUGGGAACAGCUUUUCUCUGACCUAUUAUGUCUUCCAAUAGAAGUUCUCCAAAAUGGUCUGAAAAUAUAGCUCUGACUAAAACUGCCUUGGAAUUGCAGG
Pantherophis guttatus is the source of this 204-nucleotide non-coding RNA. NCBI's taxonomy places the organism in Eukaryota, Metazoa, Chordata, Lepidosauria, Squamata, Colubridae. The record is from RefSeq and is a predicted model, not a curated record.